RNAcentral lists this long non-coding RNA (740 nucleotides) under Equus caballus (horse). Its description in RNAcentral is "lncRNA (ENSECAG00000055061.1)". Lineage: Eukaryota; Metazoa; Chordata; Mammalia; Perissodactyla; Equidae. The record is from RNAcentral.
CAGCACCACAGAGACGCUGGCCCGGGCCCAAGCAGCCAAGCCCAGGUGAGAGGUGGUGGGGUCCAGGGUGGCCUUUGUCCCCAUUGUGAUUCCCAAGUACAAAGGCCAGGUGAAAGGCCACUAAAAUUUGGAAAAGGGGUGUGGGAGAGCUCGUGGCCUACGUUAUGGGUCUAACGCCCAGCUCUGCUCAUCCAUUGUCCUAAUGCUCUGCCAACUUCUCCAGCCCACAGGCACCCGUCCAACCUUUUGACCUUCUCAAGGCUCAAGAUGUGGAAAUGCGGCCUUGGGAGAUGCAUUCCUCCAUGGGUCCUUGGCUGGUGAGAGGCAGAGCUGGUGAGCCUAGGGAGUCUGUUCUCCAGUGCUUCCGAGCACCAACAGUGAGCCAGGGAAGGUAAGGUCCCUAAGGAAAGGAGCAUGUUUUGUUCCGCUUUGUUUUGUGAUUCCGUUGCCCAGAACAGUACCUGGCACUUCGAUUUGUUGAAUGAAUGAGCGACUGAACAGCCACGCCAUCCUUGACUUGUGGUCUACGGAAUCGUCCAAACGCUUUUCCCACGCUCUGUCAACUGACCUUCUGCGUUUGUGUCGUUGGUUCGGGGAACCUGAUUCCAGAUCUCGACAGCUUAUACCAUUCAAUUCCAGUUUGCUGCACUCUAGACCGCGUGGUCCUAAUUCUGGUUCUAGUCAUCUGAGAAUCCGAGGAGCAUCGUUUUUAGAGCUUUCUCCGAGUCACCGUUAAAAAG